This 508-nucleotide ribosomal RNA is filed under the name uncultured bacterium. Its description in RNAcentral is "bacterial SSU rRNA". It matches the Rfam family "Bacterial small subunit ribosomal RNA", at positions 15 to 518 of the family's 1533-position model. The record is from RNAcentral.
GAUUAUGGCUCAGGAUGAACGCUGGCGGCGUGCCUAAUACAUGCAAGUCGAACGAGGGUGCUUGCACCCUAGUGGCGAACGGGUGAGUAACACGUAGGUAACCUGCCUCACAGUUGGGAUACCCAGAGGAAACUUUGGCUAAUACCGGAUAAUUGGUUGGAAGGCAUCUUCCGACUCUAAAAGGGGCCUUUAAAGCCUCGCUGAGAGAUGGACCUGCGGCGCAUUAGCUAGUUGGUGAGAUAACAGCCCACCAAGGCGAGGAUGCGUAGCCGACCUGAGAGGGUGAACGGCCACACUGGAACUGAGACACGGUCCAGACUCCUACGGGAGGCAGCAGUAGGGAGUUUUCGGCAAUGGGGGAAACCCUGACCGAGCAACGCCGCGUGAGUGAUGAAGGUCUUCGGAUUGUAAAGCUCUGUUGUAGGGGAAGAACGAUAUGAUGAGGAAAUGCUUCAUAUUUGACGGUACCUUAUUAGAAAGCCACGGCUAACUACGUGCCAGCCGCCGC